CAUAACCUUUAGCUAAACCAGUAUUAAAGGCAACGCCUGCCCAGUGAAUAAUUAAACGGCCGCGGUACCCUAACCGUGCAAAGGUAGCGUAAUCAUUUGUCUAUUAAUUGUAGACCUGUAUGAAAGGCAUAAUGAGGGUUUAACUGUCUCUUUUAGUAAAUCAAUUAAACUGAUCUCCUAGUCCAAAAGCUAGGAUACCAACAUAAGACCAGAAGACCCUGUGAAACUUUAACUAAAAUAUUAAAGCCUAUAAUAACUACUUUAGGUUGGGGCGACCUUGGAAAAUAAAAGAACUUCCACACACAUAUUAUAUAAUAAUAUAUAGCCGGCCAACAAGCCUACAACGACCCAGCACAGCUGACAAUUGAACCAAGCUACUCCAGGGAUAACAGCGCUAUCUUCUUCAAGAGCCCAUAUCAAAAAGAAGGUUUACGACCUCGAUGUUGGAUCAGGACAUCCUGAUGGUGCAACCGCUAUUAAGGGUUCGUUUGUUCAACGAUUAAUAGUCCUACGUGAUCUG
This 520-nucleotide ribosomal RNA is filed under the name Hydrophis pacificus (Pacific seasnake). RNAcentral's name for it is "partial 16S ribosomal RNA". It matches the Rfam family "Bacterial large subunit ribosomal RNA", at positions 1814 to 2607 of the family's 2925-position model. The record is from RNAcentral. Lineage: Eukaryota; Metazoa; Chordata; Lepidosauria; Squamata; Elapidae.